AUGCAUUGGUUUGCAUGGUGGAAAGUGUGUGUACCGAAGAAGAAAGGGGACUUGGGAUUUAGAGACCUUCAUAGUUCCAACCUUGGUAUGUUAGCAAAACAGUAUUGGCGACUAAUCCAGAACCCGGAUUCUCUAUGUGCACGUGUUUUGAGCGCAAAAUAUUAUCCGGACGGAAACAUCUUGCAAGCUGGACUGAAGAAUGGGUCGUCAUUUUCUUGGCAAAGCAUAGUUGCAGGUAUUCAAACUUUUCAGAGGGGGUGCAUUUGGCGUGUAGGUACAGGAGCACAUAUUGAUAUAUGGCGGGAUCCCUGUAUUCUUUCGAGUCCUUCAAGAAAGGUAAUCGCACCUAUAGGUAUUGAUCCACACACUUGGGACGAAGUGCUAAUCAAUGAUGGAGGAUUUUAUUGCUUGGAAUUAUACGUGAUCGGAAACCUUUUCGGUUAG
Molecule: ribosomal RNA, 444 nt
Filed under: Triticum aestivum (bread wheat)
Lineage: Eukaryota; Viridiplantae; Streptophyta; Magnoliopsida; Poales; Poaceae
Description: partial small subunit ribosomal RNA
Source: RNAcentral